CCCUCAAAACAGCCCGCUUUGGAGGUCGGGAUAUAGACCCCGAAAUAGGUCGACAUCUCUGCGUAAAAUGGCGGAUGCACUGCAAGUUCCGCUGAUGGCAAGCGAAGGCAACGGUAAAAAUAGGGUAACAUCAACCACAAAAUGCCAGGAACUCUACUGUCCCGUUUUGUUGUUGUUUUCGGCUGCACUCCUCCACUCGCACGCACACAAACACAACAACGCAAAAAAAAAACGGAAAAAAAACAGCACACGCACAUCAACAACCAGCGACGCGAACUCACGAGACCUGGAAGACCCAACGAAUCGGCGGAAUCACAAACAUAUAUCUUGUUAUUCUUACCUUUUAGCACAAAGGGCACAAUACAUGAAAC
Drosophila melanogaster (fruit fly) is the source of this 371-nucleotide non-coding RNA. The record is from Ensembl. NCBI's taxonomy places the organism in Eukaryota, Metazoa, Arthropoda, Insecta, Diptera, Drosophilidae.